This is a long non-coding RNA of Bombus impatiens (common eastern bumble bee), 448 nucleotides long. RefSeq lists it as uncharacterized. The record is from RefSeq and is a predicted model, not a curated record. The transcript is spliced from 2 exons. Lineage: Eukaryota; Metazoa; Arthropoda; Insecta; Hymenoptera; Apidae.
GUGCUUCGUCGUGGGGAUGAGAUCGCAACGAGGAAUGACGUUGUACGAUCCAACAUUCGCGCGUCGACGGUGACACGGUAUAAAGACUGCACGCGGUUUGUUCUACAUACACGUUACACGUGUCACGAUCGUGGAUUCAGUUCCGUUUCGUGGCAACUAAUCGUGGAUCAUUCUCGUUUGACGGUACGAGAGGCGUGUUUCCCAGGCUGUGCAACUGUGCGGUGCUAUCCCCGUUUCUCCAUCUUCCGCAUUCCUCGCUUCGAUUGGAGUAUCUCUCCGUGCACGACGAGACCGUAUAUCGACAUCGACGGUUCCACGACAACCACGGAGACCAAUAGCACCAGAUGCACAGUCCCCGAUUCGAUUGAAGGAAAGCUACAGGAAUACCAGCUGAAAUCAUCCGAAUUUGGUUAGUGACAGGCGGAGGAUGAGUUAAGCGGUGCACGAA